RNAcentral lists this ribosomal RNA (813 nucleotides) under Brachybacterium paraconglomeratum. RNAcentral's name for it is "bacterial SSU rRNA". It matches the Rfam family "Bacterial small subunit ribosomal RNA", at positions 89 to 914 of the family's 1533-position model. Lineage: Bacteria; Bacillati; Actinomycetota; Actinomycetes; Micrococcales; Dermabacteraceae. The record is from RNAcentral.
UGAUUAGUGGCGAACGGGUGAGUAACACGUGAGUAACCUGCCCCCCACUUCGGGAUAACCUCGGGAAAUCGUGGCUAAUACCGGAUACGAGCACUCAUCGCAUGGUGGGUGCUGGAAAGAUUUAUCGGUGGGGGAUGGACUCGCGGCCUAUCAGUUUGUUGGUGAGGUGAUGGCUCACCAAGACGAUGACGGGUAGCCGGCCUGAGAGGGCGACCGGCCACACUGGGACUGAGACACGGCCCAGACUCCUACGGGAGGCAGCAGUGGGGAAUAUUGCACAAUGGGCGAAAGCCUGAUGCAGCGACGCCGCGUGGGGGAUGACGGCCUUCGGGUUGUAAACCCCUUUCAGUAGGGAAGAAGCGAGAGUGACGGUACCUGCAGAAGAAGCGCCGGCUAACUACGUGCCAGCAGCCGCGGUAAUACGUAGGGCGCAAGCGUUGUCCGGAAUUAUUGGGCGUAAAGAGCUUGUAGGUGGCUUGUCGCGUCUGCCGUGAAAACCCGAGGCUCAACCUCGGGCGUGCGGUGGGUACGGGCAGGCUAGAGUGUGGUAGGGGAGACUGGAACUCCUGGUGUAGCGGUGAAAUGCGCAGAUAUCAGGAAGAACACCGAUGGCGAAGGCAGGUCUCUGGGCCAUUACUGACACUGAGAAGCGAAAGCAUGGGUAGCGAACAGGAUUAGAUACCCUGGUAGUCCAUGCCGUAAACGUUGGGCACUAGGUGUGGGGGACAUUCCACGUUUUCCGCGCCGUAGCUAACGCAUUAAGUGCCCCGCCUGGGGAGUACGGCCGCAAGGCUAAAACUCAAAGGAAUUGAC